AAAUGAUUAUCAUAAUGGUAAUGAAUAGAACUUACAAUUCUAAUUAUGGUGGUUCAACUCCGCCAUCAUUUA
RNAcentral lists this transfer RNA (72 nucleotides) under Gefionella okellyi. RNAcentral describes it as "tRNA-Val". It matches the Rfam family "tRNA". From Rfam's summary of the family: Transfer RNA (tRNA) molecules are approximately 80 nucleotides in length. The record is from RNAcentral. Lineage: Eukaryota; Malawimonada; Malawimonadea; Malawimonadida; Malawimonadidae.